Cyprinus carpio (common carp) is the source of this 241-nucleotide long non-coding RNA. RefSeq lists it as uncharacterized. NCBI's taxonomy places the organism in Eukaryota, Metazoa, Chordata, Actinopteri, Cypriniformes, Cyprinidae. The record is from RefSeq and is a predicted model, not a curated record.
UACAACGCUCGCACGCGGAAAAGCUUUCGCAUAUGCUUCUAGGAAAAUACCAAUUUUAGAAUAAUCAUAUUACAAGUUAUGGAUGAUCACCGGCGCCGUGGAGAGGAAUGGACGCGCGUCUGGUGAGGCUAUAAGCGUGUUAGUUCGUGUACAAGCUUCGGGCAGCGGAUAAGCGCUGAUAAUGCGUCAAAACAACAGAAGGGAGGCUGGAAUAUGAAAUAUUACAGAUGAUUGAGACAGG